UGCUGAAGGGAUGGUGGAAUAUAUUGCCCAACAGCAAAGGGUAUUUGAUAUUCCAAGCCAAUGUAUUUGUUUUGAA
RNAcentral lists this transfer RNA (76 nucleotides) under Shewanella putrefaciens. Its description in RNAcentral is "tRNA-Val". Lineage: Bacteria; Pseudomonadati; Pseudomonadota; Gammaproteobacteria; Alteromonadales; Shewanellaceae. The record is from RNAcentral.